AUUGAACGCUGGCGGCAGGCCUAACACAUGCAAGUCGAGCGUGAAAGUUCUUCGGAGCGAGUAAAGCGGCGGACGGGUGAGUAACGCGUGGGAAUCUGCCCAGUAGUGGGGGACAACAGUUGGAAACGACUGCUAAUACCGCAUACGCCCUACGGGGGAAAGGAGGGGAUCUUCGGACCUUUCGCUAUUGGAUGAGCCCGCGUGAGAUUAGUUUGUUGGUGGGGUAAUGGCCUACCAAGACUACGAUCUCUAGCUGGUCUGAGAGGAUGAUCAGCCACACUGGAACUGAGACACGGUCCAGACUCCUACGGGAAGGCAGCAGUGGGGAAUAUUGCACAAGUGGGGGAAACCCUGAUGCAGCCAUGCCGCGUGUGUGAAGAAGGCU
RNAcentral lists this ribosomal RNA (385 nucleotides) under uncultured Gammaproteobacteria bacterium. Its description in RNAcentral is "bacterial SSU rRNA". It matches the Rfam family "Bacterial small subunit ribosomal RNA", at positions 30 to 416 of the family's 1533-position model. Lineage: Bacteria; Pseudomonadati; Pseudomonadota; Gammaproteobacteria. The record is from RNAcentral.